This 8055-nucleotide long non-coding RNA is filed under the name Androctonus crassicauda. Lineage: Eukaryota; Metazoa; Arthropoda; Arachnida; Scorpiones; Buthidae. The record is from RNAcentral.
CAACAAACGCCUGCAGAUUUUAGGAUUUAUUGGUCCGGGUCCCGGAUGUGUUUUGUGCAUCGAAAUGACAUCCAGCGCCGGUUGCCAUGGAAACUUAAGUCCAUUGGUCAAGGUCCCGGUACGCGGUCAUUAAAGGAAGGGGAGGCGCGCCAUUAAACGGCCGGCCAACCUGUUCCGGCCCGGUCGGCCAUGCCGCUCACCUGCGCCCGGACCCACGGUAAUUUAUAAUGAAGCCGGGACGCCAUUGGACGCCCGGUCUCCGCCCACCUCCGACGCUUUAAAAACAAAGUGGCGGAGUAAAGGAGAAGAGAGGAGCGGGAGGAAGCCGAGAAAGGGGAAAAAAACCCGGCCCGGCCACGGGAUUUGUUGUCCUCCUACCCACCCUGUUUGGCGUCUAGCCAACCAGGGAGUGGCUUGUCCGACGCUGACUGGUUGAAAUCUUUUAACCCCACCGUUGCGACUCGAGUCGACCGCCUGGAUUUGCAUCAACAAUGUCGUCCGUUGCCAUGGCCACCCGGCUUAUUGAUUGGCGCCGACGCCGGCUCUAUCUUCCCUCCCUACCUUUCCGUCCCCGGUCACGUGGUCCGCGGAUUUUCCUAGUAGAUAAGGCCGACCCCGGUCCCCUAAUUCCCAUUUCUCCACCCGACCCGACCCGUCCGGACACCCGGCCCGACCGACCCCGCCUCGCCCCUUUUUCUGCUCUUAAUCCUGGAUUAAUCGGGCAUUUUCUUCCCGGGCCGAAACUGGCCCGCGGUAAUAGGCCGGCUCCCCAGAUUUGUCGGAUUAACCCCCGGCACUGGGCAUUUCACUAUCGAUCGGAGUCCAGUUUUAAAGUGGACGGCGCCAUAUUUAAAAGUCAGGUGGGCUUCUCCCGGUGGCUCCCGUCCCGGACUGGGAAAGACUCUUUACGUCGGAUGUAGCCGACUGUUAAUUAAGCCCUGGGCUGUCUCCUUCGAUGAGGACUUUAUCCUUUCUGCUCUAUCGAAGCGUGGGCCUGCAGGUGGAACGCUCUCCUAACCCGCGUGCCUCCUUCUGCCUGAUUAGUUCAUUCCAGAAUAUGAUUGGUUCCUAUCGGCCGUUAACUCGCUCCAGUGUAUCCAGCACUCGGGUGUCCUCCUUAAUAAAUCCGGCACCCGGAUGGGGAUGUCCCGAGAAAAAGCCCCGGACGGAUUAUUUUCUUUGGGGGGCGGCGGCCAUUAAGAAAAACGAUAACUAUAGGUUGAGCGGGGGAAGAAGUUAGUUAGAUGGGGAGAUGAUGCGGAAGACACUCGGCUCGUUUGGUUUUUCUAUCGAUAACUGGAGACGGAUUCGCUGUGUGUGCGCGCCGGGCGUACGACCAAUUCUCCUAUGGCAUCGAUCGCCUAUCGAUGACUCAUCGCCGUCCCUCUUUUAACUCUCCAGUUUAGCAUACCUUGCUAGCUUCUCGUUAAAUUCGUUUUAUAAUGUCCGUUUUCCUCUACCCGGGUGGACGAAAAUUGGCGGAAGAUUAUCUAUUAUUUCUAGAUUACGGCUGCCAUCGAUUUUUCUUAACUAUGGAGGGAUGGACCGCCUACGUCUACUUUAACUAACUUGUCGCUGUGACUAUCCUAUUCGAUAUCCUGGAAAGGUGGAGAAAGCCAAGCAAUUCUGGCCUUUUGGUGUCGACUGGCCAUUUAAUUAUUAGUAGCCACCGUGUUUUCCUUCACCUCUGUCACCGACCCGUCGACGGCUACCUAUUUAUGGAGACGGACGGCGGUCGACACCACCGCGACCUUUGGCUAGACGCGUCCGUGGGGUAACAAUGACGCUGGCUGUGGUUCUUCCAGACGUGGCAUACUGAUGUCCACUCGGCGUUGGAGUGGACUGACACUAAACUUUACGUCGGUAGCCCACGGUGACUGAGAUGCCGCUGGGGUAUAAUGUAAACUGGAGUUUUUGGGACGGGGUUGGAAGAUUUUGGACGGCUCCCCGGGUGGUAAUUUCGGUAAAAUUCCCGAUAACGGUUGUCUUGGCCGUGGUGACAAAUGAUCUAGAUCUCAUCUCUGUCUGGUUCUCGUUAGAGAGACGCCGACGACAAAGUGUCCUGUCAUAUCGCAGCUUACCUGAUGGACGGUCUGAUAGAGAAGUAGGAGAGAGCGGCGGCCAUGCUCUGCUAGAGUAAACAGCGAGUGGCGGUGGAGAGAAAGAGAGAGGUCCAGGUAAAAAUAUUCGGCUGUUGAUGUUCCCCGGUGCCCGUUAAAUUUCAUGAGACGUACACUUCAUCAGAAGCCGAGGGAGAAAAACAGCCGGUAUCCGAGCGCGGUAAUGUCCGGCCCAGCCGUUUUCAUGCAUGACUAACACGCUGGCCGAUUCUCCCUUCUCUCGACUUUCUAAAAUACAACCACCAUUUCCACGCCGUACAUUACAGUCGGCAGUAAGCCCGUAUCUAUAUCUGUCUAUCUAUAGAAGUCGUAUAUAUAUAGAUAUAUAUAUACUGUAUACGGGAUGCGCUCACUGGGCAGUCAGCGCCACGUUGGCUCUCGCCGCGCCGCGCUGCGCCCCACUACCACUAGGGAUGCGUCGGUCCGUUCGCCUCCCGAAAUCUUGGGAUAGCUUCCCUGGAGCAGACGGACGCCGCCAGAUCGGAAUGCCGGAAGCGUCGACUGGCGGCCAGACGUCCUCGGAAUGUAUGCGCGUACGUUAUCAAUAUGGAGGAUGGUCUGCCGUCCAUCCGUUUCAUUGGCUGACCCACCCGUGCCUUUCCCUUCAUUUUAAAGGAGACGGGUCGGAUCGAGCCUUCCCUAUUCCUUAAUUAGUGGACUGUCUGGCUUCUCUCUCCCCAAUAAAGCGGUUUUCGACCUUAAUAUAUCUUUCUGGACUAGCGCGAGUUAAAAAAUCCUCCCUCGCUUCUCUAAUACGAAAAUUUCCAUUUAAAAGUAUAAAUGCUGAAGAAAAUGUGGCAAAAUAAAAUAUAGGAUUCAGAAUAGUCGCUUCUUUCUCUAUAAAAAUAAUGAAAGGUGCAUCAACGAAUUUAGCAGUCAUUGCCUUUCUUUCUGGGCAGAUGAAACUCACUCCCGCUCGGUUACGUAACCGUUAGACGUUAGACGUUACUAAUUGGAGACGAACUCUUAAGGAACGAAAGGAGCGGAACAUCGCGCCUCUUCUGUUUAUCCUAUCGAUCCGACACAGGGAGUUGUAAUUCGUAUUAAUUUGUCAAAAGUGGUGAUAGAUGGUGGUUUCCGGGGACCGACCCUUUCCGACUAUACUGUCCAAAAGUAGAGAUAGAUAAUUGUCGCGUGUCGCGCUCUAACGAACUUAGAUCCGACCGGAGUUUAAAGGAAGGAAGGAAAGUAAUAGGAAACGACAGGACGGGCGAGAAACGUCUUUAUUUUUGUUGUAAAUUAAUUUAGUUAGGGAGUGGACGGGAUCGAUCGGUGGAGAAACGCUCGACUGCCUAACUCGUAGAUUUGUGUUUGUGAAUAGAAAAACAUUAGACUAAUGACAGGAACUGGGUUAAUGUCUCGCCAUCGAUCGACCGGCCUGGACUUCCGACCCUCCAGAUAAUCAAAACUGGAGAAAGUAAUUGGCUCCUUCCCGAAUUUUAAUUGUUUUCUCUGUCCCGGCAUUUUCCGCUACACUAACUUCGGGAAAUUAAAAGUCGCGGACCCCCCAUGUGAUCUUCGUGUUUAUAACUGCCACUUGUAACUCGUUUGCUAGGUCAGCAUUAACUAUUAUAGUUAGAACAAAUUGGAAAAAAUGAGUCAUUCAUCGCCACUCUCUCUUAUUUUAGGACUUCGAUGGCCGAAAUCUUCCUCGAAAGGUUAAUAUAUUAGGAAGACGUCUCCAAAUGCUUGAUAUGACGAUAAGUGAGCCGGAUGGCGUGUCGAACUUUAUCUGUCAGCCCAAGUUGUUAUAAUAUCGGUGGACGUAUUUCUCGCCCUUACCGAUGGGACCUUUUAUUCUGUCGAUGGAUUCGAAUGAGCCUUAAGGUCCCACGCUAUCGAUUAGUGCUUUUGACCCCGUGUCCACUUUGGGUUGGGAUUUAUUAUAUCCAGUUGUCUUAGCCACUCUUAAUCGUACUAUUUUUUCCUCUGAUUGGAAAGUUCCGAUGCUGGUUUUAAUUUCCUGUAGUUACUAUUUCCAUGCCAGACUGAUGGAGAAUAAUUUAUAGAUUUAAAGGAAAGAAGGUAGCGGUGGGAGUGACGAGAAGUAAAUUUGGAUGGCCAGUGGGCGCCGAGAUCGAUAGCUAUCAAUCUGCACCGCCAGCCGAGAAAGACCGGUGGGGAGUCAUCGUCGGUUCGGGUUAUCCACCCGGAUAGUUUCUUCCUUCCCCGACUCUACCUGGCACUGGACAGAAGAAGACCGUUAAUGUAGUAAAGAGUCAUCCACCAUCACACUCGUCGCAUUUUUCUAAAUACUUUACGUGGCAUAGAUUGGAGUCUCUUUCACUUGAGUUUGUGAAGGUGAAAGUAAGGAAGACGUUGGUCGAAUUUUCUCCGUUAGAAAAGUCGAUGAAGCGUGUCCGUCUCUCAUUUCCAAUUAGACACUCCGUUCAAUUGACAAACUUUAGCCGUAAUUUUCAUUAAGCGUUUAUCGGGGCAACUUUAAUCCCAGACCAAGCGUUCGGGUGGGUGCUUAGAUCUUAGAAGCGAGAGAAGGUGGCUGCAAAUCCGAAGAUGGAUGUCGGUUAACACUGGGGCUAUCUGCCUAAGUGGAAAGGGAAGGAUACAAAUCGAAUCUCAGUCUUCUUUCUUUCGCCUCUUCCCAGUCACUUUCUGCCAGAAGUAUUAGCGGGUCCUGACAGAGUUUGAGCACGUAAUUUAUUACCGCUUCCGUCGCCUAUAAUCUCCCUGGGGUUUGUGUAAAGGAUUACACUGUGGGCAUUAGGACUAUCUAGCCACACCAGACUUUGUCUCUGUUUGUCCAGGUGGAUGUUUAAAAAGAGUGGUGCAUGCUCGCGCCGUGUCCGGCCAUCCAUCUCGACACUACUGGCGUUGGCUGGCUUGUCUCCAGCCUUCUUCCGUCCUAUAGCCGCUGAUGGAUUAACGCGGCUUCCAACAAUCCUCUGUAGAUGGCCUGUCUCGAUUGGCAACGCGCAACUUUUCAUUCCGUCUUUUUAACCUCUCCGAAUACAAUCUGCCGCUACAGAUGUUUUCUCCGUCCGACGGCCAGAAAAUUUCCUUCUUACCAUCCCUCCCCCGGCCAUGCAUCAUGUUUAGUUCCGACGCCAUUCGCCUUGUUAGUUUAGCCCAAAGACGGGCAAUUUUCUCUCUUAAACAUUAUGAUUUAUCUACCACUCUUCGCUUCCGACCGGCUUCUUUCACCGACAACAGACCUAAAGUCGCCUUUGACCAACUUUCUUUUUCUUUUUUUCUCGAGAGCAGUAGAGCGAAUCCGGCAGCGAACGGCUCUUAAUUAUUUUCUAUUUGAAUAGGAAGAGCGCGGUGGAUGGGAAGGUGACGACAAUAUUGCGUGGCUUCGACAACCCCGUGACAAUCAACAGAUGUCUGGCCACCGAGAUGCGGCAAAUGUUACUGGAUUGCUUCGGAACCCGCGGCUGUUUGGAUUGGUUGAUGUGUAAGCACUCAUCUUAUUGCCUCCUCUCUUCUGAUCUUCCUCGUCUCUCUUCGAAUUCAAAUAAACUUCUUUAUGGCCUCACUUUGGCAAAAAUUACCCUGGAGUUUUGAUCUUUCAACCGUCCCACGCUAAUUUCUCUUCAGACUAAUUUAUUCCAUCCAUCAAGUUUCCAAUUUUUCUCGUUUUCUGUAGCCAUAUUUGUUUUGGAGUAAAAAAGUGCCGAUGGCCAUGGAGUUGGCUCUACUAACGUCCACUUCCCUGUCCUUCCACUCAUAUAUUUUAUUUAAUUUCGCUCUAAGGCUAGUUCGGGGUGAUGAUACUGGUUAAGGUGUAUCGAUGAUAAUUUUCUUGAAUAAAUCGAUAGACAUGCCACCUGAAAGAUUAAACUGUUACGCGUUUCCGGCCCUUACCUUUCGAUUUACGAUGGUAACAGAAGUUAGAAACUAUCAAAACCGGUUUAUACGGUAUCCGUUCUUUUCCAGAUAAUUUGACAGAUAAAGGAACGGGUUGGAGCGCGAUUAGCGCGCAUUAUACCAAGGUGCGGGUGGGAAGCGGUGGGAGAAGGAGGCGAAAGACACUUAAAAGGGAUAAUAAUCGAUACCGGUUUAGCAGCCGGCAGCGCAUUUAGCUGUGAGUUAGUGUUUUGCAGAAAUUCGUCCUUGAGAACGGACCGUCACUCUCCGACUCGUUUUCUAACGAGAAUUGAUGUAAUCCGAAUGUCGCCGUUUAACCUCCAUCUCCCGACGGGGCGGCUCUUCCCCUUAAAGUGUGACGUGUCGAAAUACGCGCCGUGAUAAAUAACCACUUCUCCUAAAUAUUAAAUGGCGCGCACGUCGGAAUGCGACGCGGCGCGAGGCCACGACGCUCUUCGCCUAUUGGUAAAUAAAUACUGUCAGCUUUAAUGGAAUAAACGGAGGUAAUUACUACAAGAAAAAAUAUCCAUCGGUUACGUUUUAAUUGGCGUAACGGCUUCGUAUAUCAGACAAUUCACCCAACAAGUUUUUCCCAUCCGGAUGCGGAGAGAGGAAAAAAAGGAAAUAAAAAAAGCGGAAAAUUUUCGCAAAUGUUCUACAGGCCAGACGGGGAAACAAAUGUGGGUGACAGAAGAAACAGCUAAGUAAAGGAGAAGUUUAAAUUAGAUGGAGGAGUAAAAGCUUUGGCGCGCGUGACAGUCUAAACAACACGUCGCUAAUCGAAUGCGUCCAGGAUUUUUUUAUAUGAAAAAUGACCUUUAAAGAGGAAGGGCGAGGGGAGAGUCCCGGCCGGAGCUGGCUGGUGUCGGGAAAUACGGGGCAUCACUCUCAUCAGAAAGGUUCGACGGAGCGUGGCGUUAUUAAAUUGGAAACAAGGGAAGCGUUCGAUCCGCGGGGCCGUGUCGCCUGGUCGCCAGACGCCGUGUCGUGGCCGCUAUUGGACACGGUCUUUAUUACGGGCACGUCCAUUUCUGGCGGCCGCGGCUACGAGCUCCAUUCCUUGUUCCAUCGACAGUUGGCCGACGACUGACAAUAACGGAUAGAAACCUGGCCGACACACGUCGUGGCUGCUUUCUCUACCGUCCCGGAUAACGCGCCAACACAUUUCGCAUCUCUGGCUUUUGACAUCAGUCGUCUUGUUCUUCCUCUUCUCUUCCAUUUCCCUAAUUAAAAUCUCCAAAAAUUCCCGUCCGAAACCGAUAAAGUUUGGCGCUUUUAAUUAAUUUUGGACAGAAAGCCAGCCAGCUUCUAGUUAACUCGUUUCCUGAAUUCCUGGUGUUCUUCCGGCUGCUUUUAUCCCACCUCUUAAUAUCCGGUCACGCCUCGAUUACUGUCUUUUGUUAUCAUUUUUAUCCAUCUUUUAAAAUUUAUUUAAGGAAGAAAUAAAUUCUUGACUAUUUUCUCCCAAAGUUGAGAAUAAUUUUAUCAUCUUUAGUUGGCGCUUGCAGUGAAUGGGAAGCAUCGAGAACACAUUGUUAUUAUAAAUGCAAAACGUUUGAUGAUGGAAAUAACUGUAAAGUCGUGUACGGCGGGUGGAUGAGGCGCGAUUAGAGAGAGGAAAUGAGUAGUCGUGCACCAAAUAUAAUUAGAGAGGUAAUGUUUACUUAGUCACUCGGUAGCCGCGAUAACAUCGAGGUAUUAUCGCUGGACUCGGUCGUUAAUAGGGGAAAGCAGAAAACAGAAAGUUUUAUAAUCUUAUCUGUCAGACAAACAUUAGAUGUACGGGUUGCAAUCACUUCACUAAUGGACAUCCCAUUGUUCGGGGUGCGAGUCCGAGACUCCCUUUCCGUCUCUCGUUUCUUUCCUCCCUUAUGGAAUAAUCUCUCUUUCUCUCUCUUGACAAACUUAGUCAUUUUAAUGGCACCGACAAUACUAAGUUAGUGUCUUACAAACAAUCUCUGGCGUUUCCAGCCUUAUGGUCAUUUAUUUUCAUAUAUUUCUCCUCUAUCGAUAUUUUCCCGGUGGUCCAAAAAUUACCAGUUGGCUGGCUUCUCUUCGCCCGCAUCCCGAUUGGAAAAAAAAAAAAAAAAAAACAUUAUAUUUAUAC